GUAGGUGGCAAGCGUUGUCCGGAAUUACUGGGCGUAAAGCGCGCGCAGGCGGUUCUUUAAGUCUGAUGUGAAAGCCCACGGCUCAACCGUGGAGGGUCAUUGGAAACUGGAGAACUUGAGUACAGAAGAGGAAAGCGGAAUUCCACGUGUAGCGGUGAAAUGCGUAGAGAUGUGGAGGAACACCAGUGGCGAAGGCGGCUUUCUGGUCUGUAACUGACGCUGAGGCGCGAAAGCGUGGGGAGCAAACAGGAUUAGAUACCCUGGUAGUCCACGCCGUAAACGAUGAGUGCUAAGUGUUAGGGGGUUUUCCGCCCCCCUUAGUGCUGCAGCUAACGCAUUAAGCACUCCGCCUGGGAGUACGGCCGCAAGGCUG
Molecule: ribosomal RNA, 373 nt
Filed under: uncultured organism
Description: partial 16S ribosomal RNA
Rfam family: Bacterial small subunit ribosomal RNA
Source: RNAcentral